RNAcentral lists this ribosomal RNA (301 nucleotides) under uncultured bacterium. RNAcentral's name for it is "partial 16S ribosomal RNA". It matches the Rfam family "Bacterial small subunit ribosomal RNA", at positions 509 to 809 of the family's 1533-position model. The record is from RNAcentral.
CAGCAGCCGCGGGAAUACGUAGGUGGCAAGCGUUGUCCGGAAUUAUUGGGCGUAAAGGGCUCGCAGGCGGUUUCUUAAGUCUGAUGUGAAAGCCCCCGGCUCAACCGGGGAGGGUCAUUGGAAACUGGGAAACUUGAGUGCAGAAGAGGAGAGUGGAAUUCCACGUGUAGCGGUGAAAUGCGUAGAGAUGUGGAGGAACACCAGUGGCGAAGGCAGCUUCUUGGUCCAUUCCUGACGUUCAUACACGAAAGCGUGUGGAGCAAACAGGAUUAGAUACCCGAGUAGUCCCUGUCUCUUAUAA